This 381-nucleotide ribosomal RNA is filed under the name uncultured bacterium. RNAcentral's name for it is "bacterial SSU rRNA". It matches the Rfam family "Bacterial small subunit ribosomal RNA", at positions 28 to 407 of the family's 1533-position model. The record is from RNAcentral.
GACGAACGCUGGCGGCGUGCUUAACACAUGCAAGUCGAGCGACUGCAUUCUUUUCGGAGGGUGUAUGGAGCGGCGAACGGGUGAGUAACACGUGAGUAAUCUGCCUUUGGCUUGGGAAUAACUUCGGGAAAUCGGGGCUAAUGCCCGAUGUUUACUGUCUGCUGCAUGGUGGGUGGUGGAAAGAUUUUUUGGCCAGGGAGUGAGCUCGCGGUCUAUCAGCUUGUUGGGGGGUAAUGGCUUACCAAGGCUUUGACGGGUAGCCGGCCUGAGAGGGUGUUCGGCCACACUGGGACUGAGACACGGCCCAGACUCCUACGGGAGGCAGCAGUGGGGAAUAUUGCGCAAUGGGCGUAAGCCUGACGCAGCGACGCCGCGUGGGGA